CAAAGUAAGUUCACAAAAAUAUUCUUACAAAAGUUUGGCAUGAAGAAAGCUAUAUCUAUGACCCCAUAUUGUAGAGUUUAAAAAUGAUGAGCAAGGUAAUUUUAUUGUUUGAAGCUGUAUUACUAUAUCAUACAGCUUGUAGGCCAAAUUGUAUGCUCAUUUUGUGCUUAUAUGCAAAGAUAUCAAACUAAUUCUAAUGAAUCACAU
This 207-nucleotide long non-coding RNA is filed under the name Phoenix dactylifera (date palm). RNAcentral's name for it is "long non-coding RNA (PDAC_LNC014307)". Lineage: Eukaryota; Viridiplantae; Streptophyta; Magnoliopsida; Arecales; Arecaceae. The record is from RNAcentral.